This 517-nucleotide ribosomal RNA is filed under the name uncultured Staphylococcus sp. RNAcentral's name for it is "bacterial SSU rRNA". It matches the Rfam family "Bacterial small subunit ribosomal RNA", at positions 8 to 507 of the family's 1533-position model. Lineage: Bacteria; Bacillati; Bacillota; Bacilli; Caryophanales; Staphylococcaceae. The record is from RNAcentral.
AGAGUUUGAUCCUGGCUCAGGAUGAACGCUGGCGGCGUGCCUAAUACAUGCAAGUCGAGCGAACAGAUAAGGAGCUUGCUCCUUUGACGUUAGCGGCGGACGGGUGAGUAACACGUGGGUAACCUACCUAUAAGACUGGAAUAACUCCGGGAAACCGGGGCUAAUGCCGGAUAAUAUUUAGAACCGCAUGGUUCUAAAGUGAAAGAUGGUUUUGCUAUCACUUAUAGAUGGACCCGCGCCGUAUUAGCUAGUUGGUGGGGUAAUGGCUUACCAAGGCAACGAUACGUAGCCGACCUGAGAGGGUGAUCGGCCACACUGGAACUGAGACACGGUCCAGACUCCUACGGGAGGCAGCAGUAGGGAAUCUUCCGCAAUGGGCGAAAGCCUGACGGAGCAACGCCGCGUGAGUGAUGAAGGUCUUCGGAUCGUAAAACUCUGUUAUUAGGGAAGAACAAAUGUGUAAGUAACCGUGCACGUCUUGACGGUACCUAAUCAGAAAGCCACGGCUAACUACGUG